UGCCAGCCGCCGCGGUAAUACGGAGGGGGUUAGCGUUGUUCGGAAUUACUGGGCGUAAAGCGCACGUAGGCGGACUGGAAAGUUGGGGGUGAAAUCCCAGGGCUCAACCCUGGAACUGCCUCCAAAACUAUCAGUCUAGAGUUCUAGAGAGGUGAGUGGAAUUCCGAGUGUAGAGGUGAAAUUCGUAGAUAUUCGGUGGAACACCAGUGGCGAAGGCGACUAACUGGACUGAUACUGACGCUGAGGUGCGAAGGCGUGGGUAGCGAACGGGAUUAGAUA
This 279-nucleotide ribosomal RNA is filed under the name uncultured bacterium. RNAcentral's name for it is "partial 16S ribosomal RNA". It matches the Rfam family "Bacterial small subunit ribosomal RNA", at positions 506 to 784 of the family's 1533-position model. The record is from RNAcentral.